RNAcentral lists this ribosomal RNA (1029 nucleotides) under Triticum aestivum (bread wheat). RNAcentral's name for it is "partial small subunit ribosomal RNA". The record is from RNAcentral. Lineage: Eukaryota; Viridiplantae; Streptophyta; Magnoliopsida; Poales; Poaceae.
AUGGUGGUGGCGCAAGCCCCUGACCAGCAGGAAACAAAAUCCCCAAUGGAGCGUCUCAAAGAGGGUAUGGAUACCGAGCUGCGACUUUUUGCCGGCCACCGUGAAUACUGGCAAGAUACAAACUGCAGCAAGACCGGACGGUGCGGUCGGUUCCAAGAUAAAACCACUUUGAGUCCUAUGCAGUUUACACACUACACACCUGGUAUCACCCUGCCCCCUGCUGCUGUCACUGGGACAACCGUGCAGAUCUACUCCUUCAAAAUUACUCGACUGCACAAUGACCUCAAGUGGCCACUCUAUGUCUACGGCGAGGUCGCUGCCCGGGACACCGUGGACCGCAACCGCAACCUUCUCUUCUGUCGGUCAAAGUUUUAUGGCCAAGUACUCACUGAAAAUGACUCUUCCCUAUGCUUGACUGGCCCUUCUCGUGCAAUUGUAGCCGAGGAUCACGUUGUCUUUGAAGUCAAACUAAGAAUUAUUGAGGGCGAUGAUGAGAUCAAAGACAGAGUAUUGAUGAGUCUUAGCAAGCGUUACGACGGUUCAGAACAACCUUUAUGCUUCCAUGGCUCCAUGUGUAGUGCAGAGUUGAGCCUUGGGCGACUUGCUGCAACGGUCCAGGCAACUAUCGUGGGGGUUUGUGUUGGUAAAGGGAGGUGGCCUUUUGAAUGCGGAGGCCGAGUUACUUGCUCCUUGUAUUCUGCAGAAGUUGAUGAUCACUCGUGUGAUGAAGUUGUUUUGCUUGAUUCCGCAGAAAAAAUUCCUGAAGAUGGUUUAGAUGGGUAUAUUUCUCUUUCAAGGAACGUUGUGUCAGUACAAUUGCAAGGACGGUUGAAAGUUAGCAUACAAGGCAUACGAGUAUACGGGGAAUCUGAUCCUCCAGUUGAUGUUCACUUCCAUCCCCAGGAUUGCAACGUAUGUAUGGGUAGUUGUUUUGUCUAUGGCACUAAGGUGGACAUCACGGUUGCUUGGUCCCGGAUUGUCCGAGACAAGAUGGAUUUACUAAUUGAGGGUUAUUCUUAUCAGGCGUAG